GAUGUGUUUAGACAGCAGGACGGUGGCCACGGAAGUCGGCAUCCGCCAAGGAGUGUGUAACAACUCACCUGCCUAAGCAACCAGUCCUGAAAAUGGAUGGCGCUCCAGCGUCGCAGCCCAUACCCGGCCUUUAAGCCGAAUCAGAUAAGUUGUAAGGCUUAAAGAGUAGGAGGGUCGCGGCGGAGAGCGCAGAAGGUCGCGACGCGAGUCGGACUGGAGCCUCCGCCGGUGCAGAUCUUGGUGGUAGUAGCAAAUAUUCCAGUGAGAGCCUGGAAGACUGAAGCACGGAGAAAGGUUUCAUGUGAACAGCAGUUGAACACGAGUGAGUCGGUCCUGAGGCCAGAUGCUAACGCAUCGCAGACGGUUCUCAUUGAAAACGAGGGACGAGAACUUUAGGCCGAAAGGGAAAAGUGUUAAUAUUCCCUUACCGGGACACGGAGACUUUCGGCCCGAGGGUCGAUGGUGCGGUGACGCAAACGAACUCGGCGACGCCGUCGGAGGACCCGGAGAAGAGUUGCCUUUUCUUUGUAAGACGCGCGCGUCCCUCGAAUCUCGUCGCGAGGAGACAGGGACGCCGCCUGUCGAAAAAGCACGGUCGCUGCCGCCGUGUCCGGUGCGCCUCCGCCGGCCCUUGAAAACCGAGGGAGAGCUUGUGAUUUUCGUGCCCGGCCGUACCCAUAUCCGCAGCAGGUCUCCAAGGUGAACAGCCUCUAGUCUCUAGAACAAUGUAGGUAAGGGAAGUCGGCAAGUUCGAUCCCUAACCUCGGGAAAAGGAUUGGCUCUUGUGUCUCGGUCUUUCUGGACUCGCACUUUCCGAAGCUCCUAUCGUGGCGGGGACUGGUCCCAGUUUGGGGAUCGGACCCCGUACUCGAGGUGGGGUGUAGGGUGCGAGGUGCCCCGGUCCUCCGUAAGGACUGGGGCAGUGCCGGAGGACAGGAAAGAGACGGACAAGAACUGGCACGGACUCGGGGAAUCCGACUGUCUAAUUAAAACAAAGCAUUGAGACGGCCGGCGAUCGGUGUUGACUCAAUGUGAUUUCUGCCCAGUGCUCUGAAUGUCAAAGUGAAGAAAUUCAACGAAGCGCGGGUAAACGGCGGGAGUAACUAUGACUCUCUUAAGGUAGCCAAACGCCUCGUCAUCUAAUUAGUGACGCGCAUGAAUGGAUUAACGAGAUUCCCACUGUCCCUAUCUACUAUCUAGCGAAACCGCAGCCAAGGGAACGGACUUGGCAAAUUCACUGGGGAAAGAAGACCCUUUCGAGCUUGACUCUAGUCUGACUUUGUUCUAAGGCAUUAUUGGCGUAGUCUAGGUGGGAGUCCUGUUAUGGACGCAAUUGUGAAAUACCACUACUUUGAUCGCCUUGGGACUUAUUCGGUGAUGUCCCUAAUCGUCUCUUUUCUCGAGGGACGAACGUAUGUGCUUCAAGUCCUCGCCGUUCGAGUGUUGGACGAGGAACUCCGAAGACAGCGUCAGGCAGGCAGUUUGUCUGGGGCGGAACAUCUGUCAAAUGGCAACGCAGGUGUCCCAAGGCCGGCUCAGUCGGGACGGAAACCCGGCGUGGAGCAAAGGGGCAAAAGCCGGCUCGAUCCCGUUCUUCAGCAGGGAAGGGGACCUGGAAACAGGGGCCCAUCGAUCCUUUCUUUCUAUAUCCUUCGGGGUAGAAUGUGAGAGUCUCACGGGAGAGGUGUCGGAAAAGUUACCGGAGGGAUAACUGGCUCGUGGCGGCUGAGAGUUCAUAUCGACGUCGCUUAUUGAUUCUUCGAUGUCGGCUCUUCCUAUCAUUGCGAAGCAGAAUUCGCAAAGCGUUGGAUUGUUCACCCACUAACAGGGAACGUGAGCUGGGUUUAGACCGUCUGAGGA
Trichonephila clavipes is the source of this 1860-nucleotide non-coding RNA. NCBI's taxonomy places the organism in Eukaryota, Metazoa, Arthropoda, Arachnida, Araneae, Nephilidae. The record is from the annotation of a GenBank genome assembly.